This 453-nucleotide transfer-messenger RNA is filed under the name bacterium. It matches the Rfam family "transfer-messenger RNA". From Rfam's summary of the family: Bacterial tmRNA, also known as 10Sa RNA or SsrA, is named for its dual tRNA and mRNA-like properties. Its role is to liberate the mRNA from a stalled ribosome. To accomplish this part of the tmRNA is used as a reading frame that ends in a translation stop signal. The record is from RNAcentral.
GGGGUUGUACUUGGAAUCGAGAGGGAGACUACCGGUUUUUUCAGUGCCAUGUCGGGGUCGCGCUGUCCCCCGAGCGUUGACGAGCAAUCGUCACGAAGAUCCGUCCAGCGCAAAACUAAGUGCUAAAACUAAUUUAGCUGCGAUCAGAAACGCAAUGCUUGGUGAACAACUGGCAUCCGUGCCAGUAGCACCAGCUUUCGCUUUUGCCGCAUAACCGUCUGACCGAAACUCGGACGUCGCUUCGCCUCAGACCUCUCCUAUGAGGGUCGAAGUGUCACCUAGGAGGGUAAGGCUUCCGGUCUGUUCGCCCGGGAUCACGAAAACCUUGAACUAAGCGAGUCGGGCUUUUUGUUUGUCUCUUAUCCGACUCGUCGAAAAUUCAGGACAACCUAUCAUGGUAGAUCUGUAAGACCGACUCCUUCCACGCGGGUUCGACUCCCGCCAACUCCACCA